This 468-nucleotide ribosomal RNA is filed under the name uncultured bacterium. RNAcentral describes it as "partial 16S ribosomal RNA". It matches the Rfam family "Bacterial small subunit ribosomal RNA", at positions 28 to 507 of the family's 1533-position model. The record is from RNAcentral.
GACGAACGCUGGCGGCGUGCUUAACACAUGCAAGUCGAACGGAAAGGCCCUGCUUUUGUGGGGUGCUCGAGUGGCGAACGGGUGUGUAACACGUGAGUAACCUGCCCUUGACUUUGGGAUAACUUCAGGAAACUGGGGCUAAUACCGGAUAGGAGCUCCUGCUGCAUGGUGGGGGUUGGAAAGUUUCGGCGGUUGGGGAUGGACUCGCGGCUUAUCAGCUUGUUGGUGGGGUAGGGGCUUACCAAGGCUUUGACGGGUAGCCGGCCUGAGAGGGUGACCGGCCACAUUGGGACUGAGAUACGGCCCAGACUACUACGGGAGGCAGCAGGGGGGAAUAUUGCACAAUGGGCGGAGGCCUGAUGCAGCAACGCCGCGUGCGGGAUGACGGCCUUCGGGUUGUAAACCGCUUUCGCCUGUGACGAAGCGUGAGUGACGGUAAUGGGUAAAGAAGCACCGGCUAACUACGUG